Molecule: unclassified non-coding RNA, 262 nt
Filed under: Hevea brasiliensis (rubber tree)
Lineage: Eukaryota; Viridiplantae; Streptophyta; Magnoliopsida; Malpighiales; Euphorbiaceae
Source: RNAcentral
AGCUGAAUAAGGUCUCAAAUAACCAAUAGUUUCACCAAGAAAAGGCCAACCCAUAUCCCCUGGUGGAAGAUUUUGAAAGUUGUGUUUUCUUUUGAAUAGAUUAAGAAUUAUAAGUACUGCUAAGAUUGGAGGAAUAAGAAAAAGAAAAAACUCUAAGUCAGACAUUGAUGUUAUUCCUUCUUCUCUAUUUCUUUCUUCUUCUUUUUCAGUUUCAACACUCAAUAAGCUCUGUUUCUGAAGCAGAGGUUCGAAUAAGAUAGUA